GUGGGGAAUAUUGGGCAAUGGGGGAAACCCUGACCCAGCGACGCCGCGUGAGGGAAGAAGGCCUUAGGGUCGUAAACCUCUGUUGUGUGGGAAGAAGAGCGUGACGGUACCACACGAGGAAGUCCCGGCUAACUACGUGCCAGCAGCCGCGGUAAUACGUAGGGGACGAGCGUUGUCCGGAAUUACUGGGCGUAAAGGGCGCGUAGGCGGUCAUUUAAGUCAGCUGUGAAAUGGUCCGGCUCAACCGGAUCAUGCGGUUGAAAAUGGAUGCCUGGAGUGCUGGAGAGGCAAGUGGAAUUCCCGGUGUAGCGGUGAAAUGCGUAGAUAUUGGGAAGAACACCGGUGGCGAAGGCGACUUGCUGGCCAGCAACUGACGCUGAGGCGCGAAAGCCAGGGGAGCAAACGGGAUUAGAUACCCGAGUAGUCC
RNAcentral lists this ribosomal RNA (427 nucleotides) under uncultured bacterium. Its description in RNAcentral is "partial 16S ribosomal RNA". It matches the Rfam family "Bacterial small subunit ribosomal RNA", at positions 354 to 796 of the family's 1533-position model. The record is from RNAcentral.